ACUCCUACGGGAGGCAGCAGUGGGAAGUCUUAGACAAUGGGAACCGGUAGCAUCUAGCCAUGCCGCGUGAGCGAUGAAGGCCUUAGGGUUGUAAAGCUCUUUCAGCGGGAAGAUAAUGACGGUACCCGCAGAAGAAGCCCGCGUACAUCCGUGCCAGCAGCCGCGGUAAUACGGAGGGCGUAGCGUUGUUCGGAAUUACUGGGCGUAAAGCGCGCGUAGCGGAUUGGAAAGUCAGAGGUGAAAUCCC
Molecule: ribosomal RNA, 247 nt
Filed under: uncultured bacterium
Lineage: Bacteria
Description: partial 16S ribosomal RNA
Rfam family: Bacterial small subunit ribosomal RNA
Source: RNAcentral